Molecule: ribosomal RNA, 429 nt
Filed under: Gemmatimonadota bacterium
Lineage: Bacteria; Pseudomonadati; Gemmatimonadota
Description: Gemmatimonadetes bacterium partial 16S ribosomal RNA
Rfam family: Bacterial small subunit ribosomal RNA
Source: RNAcentral
UAGGGAAUCUUCGGCAAUGGACGAAAGUCUGACCGAGCAACGCCGCGUGAGUGAAGAAGGUUUUCGGAUCGUAAAACUCUGUUGUUAGAGAAGAACAAGGACGUUAGUAACUGAACGUCCCCUGACGGUAUCUAACCAGAAAGCCACGGCUAACUACGUGCCAGCAGCCGCGGUAAUACGUAGGUGGCAAGCGUUGUCCGGAUUUAUUGGGCGUAAAGCGAGCGCAGGCGGUUUCUUAAGUCUGAUGUGAAAGCCCCCGGCUCAACCGGGGAGGGUCAUUGGAAACUUGGAGACUUGAGUGCAGAAGAGGAGAGUGGAAUUCCAUGUGUAGCGGUGAAAUGCGUAGAUAUAUGGAGGAACACCAGUGGAGAAGGCGGCUCUCUGGUCUGUAACUGACGCUGAGGCUCGAAAGCGUGGGGAGCAAACAGG